Regulatory RNA element from Novibacillus thermophilus, 98 nucleotides. It matches the Rfam family "PyrR binding site". Rfam says of the family: This family represents the PyrR binding site and terminator structure. This RNA structure is found upstream of a variety of genes involved in pyrimidine biosynthesis and transport. NCBI's taxonomy places the organism in Bacteria, Bacillati, Bacillota, Bacilli, Caryophanales, Thermoactinomycetaceae. The record is from Rfam.
AACGCCUUUAAUUCAGUCCCGUGAGGCUGACAAGGGGAAUGCCCUUUCCGGUGGGAAGGUGGAAACCUCUUGUGCCUGUGGCAGAAGAGGUUUUUUUU